CAAUUUUGGCCUUCAGGAAACAGAAAAACUUUACUGGCCUCUGCAUUAGAUGAUUCUAGCUCCCAUUCUUCAAGCCACCUCAGAAAAGGAAACUGAGGCC
This is a long non-coding RNA of Neomonachus schauinslandi (Hawaiian monk seal), 100 nucleotides long. RefSeq lists it as uncharacterized. NCBI's taxonomy places the organism in Eukaryota, Metazoa, Chordata, Mammalia, Carnivora, Phocidae. The record is from RefSeq and is a predicted model, not a curated record. The transcript has 3 exons.